RNAcentral lists this unclassified non-coding RNA (3300 nucleotides) under Homo sapiens (human). RNAcentral describes it as "SRC proto-oncogene, non-receptor tyrosine kinase (ENSG00000291971.1)". The record is from RNAcentral. Lineage: Eukaryota; Metazoa; Chordata; Mammalia; Primates; Hominidae.
ACUUCCCCCUCCCCCCUCCCUUCCUCUCUCCUCCCUUUUCCCUCCUUUCCUUGUCUCCUUCUUCUUCCUCUUCUUUCCCCCAGCCCCCCUCCUCCCUGUCCCCCUCUCUCCCUGCUCCACGCAGUGUCCCACUGCCCGCCUUUCUCUGCAGCUGGCUGGUAUGGAGGGGGCUGCCCUGAGGAGCCCCAGAGUAAGCUGGAAGGGAGGGGACAGAGGCUGGUGUCAUUUGUCUCUGUAGCCCUAGGACCGGUCUGAACCGGUUGCUGGGAGAGGAGGAGGGGGCGGCCAGAUCGAUUGCAGCAAAGAGGGAAGAGAGCGGCAGAGGGAGCUCGCGGGGCUUGCGUGCUGGAACACGCCGAUGGCCUGUGCCACCGCCUCACCACCGUGUGCCCCACGUCCAAGCCGCAGACUCAGGGCCUGGCCAAGGAUGCCUGGGAGAUCCCUCGGGAGUCGCUGCGGCUGGAGGUCAAGCUGGGCCAGGGCUGCUUUGGCGAGGUGUGGAUGGGGACCUGGAACGGUACCACCAGGGUGGCCAUCAAAACCCUGAAGCCUGGCACGAUGUCUCCAGAGGCCUUCCUGCAGGAGGCCCAGGUCAUGAAGAAGCUGAGGCAUGAGAAGCUGGUGCAGUUGUAUGCUGUGGUUUCAGAGGAGCCCAUUUACAUCGUCACGGAGUACAUGAGCAAGGGGAGUUUGCUGGACUUUCUCAAGGGGGAGACAGGCAAGUACCUGCGGCUGCCUCAGCUGGUGGACAUGGCUGCUCAGAUCGCCUCAGGCAUGGCGUACGUGGAGCGGAUGAACUACGUCCACCGGGACCUUCGUGCAGCCAACAUCCUGGUGGGAGAGAACCUGGUGUGCAAAGUGGCGGACUUUGGGCUGGCUCGGCUCAUUGAAGACAAUGAGUACACGGCGCGGCAAGGUGCCAAAUUCCCCAUCAAGUGGACGGCUCCAGAAGCUGCCCUCUAUGGCCGCUUCACCAUCAAGUCGGACGUGUGGUCCUUCGGGAUCCUGCUGACUGAGCUCACCACAAAGGGACGGGUGCCCUACCCUGGGAUGGUGAACCGCGAGGUGCUGGACCAGGUGGAGCGGGGCUACCGGAUGCCCUGCCCGCCGGAGUGUCCCGAGUCCCUGCACGACCUCAUGUGCCAGUGCUGGCGGAAGGAGCCUGAGGAGCGGCCCACCUUCGAGUACCUGCAGGCCUUCCUGGAGGACUACUUCACGUCCACCGAGCCCCAGUACCAGCCCGGGGAGAACCUCUAGGCACAGGCGGGCCCAGACCGGCUUCUCGGCUUGGAUCCUGGGCUGGGUGGCCCCUGUCUCGGGGCUUGCCCCACUCUGCCUGCCUGCUGUUGGUCCUCUCUCUGUGGGGCUGAAUUGCCAGGGGCGAGGCCCUUCCUCUUUGGUGGCAUGGAAGGGGCUUCUGGACCUAGGGUGGCCUGAGAGGGCGGUGGGUAUGCGAGACCAGCACGGUGACUCUGUCCAGCUCCCGCUGUGGCCGCACGCCUCUCCCUGCACUCCCUCCUGGAGCUCUGUGGGUCUCUGGAAGAGGAACCAGGAGAAGGGCUGGGGCCGGGGCUGAGGGUGCCCUUUUCCAGCCUCAGCCUACUCCGCUCACUGAACUCCUUCCCCACUUCUGUGCCACCCCCGGUCUAUGUCGAGAGCUGGCCAAAGAGCCUUUCCAAAGAGGAGCGAUGGGCCCCUGGCCCCGCCUGCCUGCCACCCUGCCCCUUGCCAUCCAUUCUGGAAACACCUGUAGGCAGAGGCUGCCGAGACAGACCCUCUGCCGCUGCUUCCAGGCUGGGCAGCACAAGGCCUUGCCUGGCCUGAUGAUGGUGGGUGGGUGGGAUGAGUACCCCCUCAAACCCUGCCCUCCUUAGACCUGAGGGACCCUUCGAGAUCAUCACUUCCUUGCCCCCAUUUCACCCAUGGGGAGACAGUUGAGAGCGGGGAUGUGACAUGCCCAAGGCCACGGAGCAGUUCAGAGUGGAGGCGGGCUUGGAACCCGGUGCUCCCUCUGUCAUCCUCAGGAACCAACAAUUCGUCGGAGGCAUCAUGGAAAGACUGGGACAGCCCAGGAAACAAGGGGUCUGAGGAUGCAUUCGAGAUGGCAGAUUCCCACUGCCGCUGCCCGCUCAGCCCAGCUGUUGGGAACAGCAUGGAGGCAGAUGUGGGGCUGAGCUGGGGAAUCAGGGUAAAAGGUGCAGGUGUGGAGAGAGAGGCUUCAAUCGGCUUGUGGGUGAUGUUUGACCUUCAGAGCCAGCCGGCUAUGAAAGGGAGCGAGCCCCUCGGCUCUGGAGGCAAUCAAGCAGACAUAGAAGAGCCAAGAGUCCAGGAGGCCCUGGUCCUGGCCUCCUUCCCCGUACUUUGUCCCGUGGCAUUUCAAUUCCUGGCCCUGUUCUCCUCCCCAAGUCGGCACCCUUUAACUCAUGAGGAGGGAAAAGAGUGCCUAAGCGGGGGUGAAAGAGGACGUGUUACCCACUGCCAUGCACCAGGACUGGCUGUGUAACCUUGGGUGGCCCCUGCUGUCUCUCUGGGCUGCAGAGUCUGCCCCACAUGUGGCCAUGGCCUCUGCAACUGCUCAGCUCUGGUCCAGGCCCUGUGGCAGGACACACAUGGUGAGCCUAGCCCUGGGACAUCAGGAGACUGGGCUCUGGCUCUGUUCGGCCUUUGGGUGUGUGGUGGAUUCUCCCUGGGCCUCAGUGUGCCCAUCUGUAAAGGGGCAGCUGACAGUUUGUGGCAUCUUGCCAAGGGUCCCUGUGUGUGUGUAUGUGUGUGCAUGUGUGCGUGUCUCCAUGUGCGUCCAUAUUUAACAUGUAAAAAUGUCCCCCCCGCUCCGUCCCCCAAACAUGUUGUACAUUUCACCAUGGCCCCCUCAUCAUAGCAAUAACAUUCCCACUGCCAGGGGUUCUUGAGCCAGCCAGGCCCUGCCAGUGGGGAAGGAGGCCAAGCAGUGCCUGCCUAUGAAAUUUCAACUUUUCCUUUCAUACGUCUUUAUUACCCAAGUCUUCUCCCGUCCAUUCCAGUCAAAUCUGGGCUCACUCACCCCAGCGAGCUCUCAAAUCCCUCUCCAACUGCCUAAGGCCCUUUGUGUAAGGUGUCUUAAUACUGUCCUUUUUUUUUUUUUAACAGUGUUUUGUAGAUUUCAGAUGACUAUGCAGAGGCCUGGGGGACCCCUGGCUCUGGGCCGGGCCUGGGGCUCCGAAAUUCCAAGGCCCAGACUUGCGGGGGGUGGGGGGGUAUCCAGAAUUGGUUGUAAAUACUUUGCAUAUUGUCUGAUUAAACACAAACAGACCUCAGAAUCUG